UGUGCUGCUGCUGCUGCAGGCUUUUCUCACCUUUCCCCAUUUGCAGAGCAUCUGGGACUCACACACUGACACACACAACAACAAGAAGGGCAACAAGGGCACCAAGAGAAGAAGAAGAAGAAGAAGAAGAUGAAGAUGGAAGAAGAUGUGAGAGACAAGUGUUCAUGGCUACCCAACGUUGAGAAGAAGCAAAGGCUGAAAAAGAAAGGGGGGUGACAAGGAGCAUAAAGGUUUAUGAGAGCACUAGGGGCUGUGAGUUUAUUUGUCGACUGGCAUAUGGGGGCUCGAUUCUUGCUGACGCUGUACACCUUUCUUUGUGGUCGGAUUGUGCUACAUUCUAGCUCAUUCUCUCCCAUUUUCGCUUUAUUUUUUGCACACAAGGUUGGGAAAACAUUGGGUGCACACCAUAAGUACAGCCCAAUAAAUCUUCUCUAAUUAGUAUCCUCGGCAAGUCAGCCCAUGGUCAGUUACAAGUGUUGAAUUCAUUGUUCGGUUACAAGUGUCCCGAGCUUACUCGGAUAAUGUUGAGACCGUUGUGGUUUAUAUUGGCUCUAGUAGUAAACUAGUCAUUUAAUCUUUUAAGCUUGAACUAAAGAAUUUUAUUCAACUUUAGUUCUAGAUAUGAAAGAGCAUAGAGUACAGUUGAAAACUAAGAACCCUAGCCUCGCUCUCACACCGCACGAGGUUGGGCUAGGUUUUGACGAAGUCCCCUCUCGUCCGGCGGCGCUCAACGUAAGUGCUGGCUUUGCCUUGCCAACGUUGUAUUGCUGCCGGAUGGGUGAUGUUGGUAUAUGGUCCUUUUAGCUUUUGGACUGGCUUCGCUUGGGGUGUGGGCAGUGGGUUUCGGUGCUGGUCUGGUUCGGAGCUUCUUUGAGGUGAGGCUGUUGUUCCGUUCUCUCAUCCAGGCAUUGGUCGGCAACGAGGGCGACUUCAAGGAGUUCUACUAGUAGCUUGAAGUGCAAGUGAUCCAAAUCGAUCGGUUUUGGGUUUGGCUGUGUUGUUAUAAGUUUGUCGGUGCCUCUUGGUGGUGGUCAUGGCGACGCAACGUCUGUGGUGUGCAUGUGACGACACUAUUUCAGGAAGGUGAUGGCUGGAUCUGGGCCGACCCAAGUCUGCUGGGCCUUGGGUGCUACUAUGCUUUUGGG
This is a long non-coding RNA of Rosa chinensis, 1145 nucleotides long. RefSeq lists it as uncharacterized. The transcript is spliced from 3 exons. NCBI's taxonomy places the organism in Eukaryota, Viridiplantae, Streptophyta, Magnoliopsida, Rosales, Rosaceae. The record is from RefSeq and is a predicted model, not a curated record.